GCGUGAGUGAAGAAGGCCUUAGGGUUGUAAAGCUCUUUCGCACGUGACGAUGAUGACGGUAACGUGAGAAGAAGCCCCGGCUAACUUCGUGCCAGCAGCCGCGGUAAUACGAAGGGGGCUAGCGUUGUUCGGAAUUACUGGGCGUAAAGCGCGCGUAGGCGGUUGUGUAAGUCAGAGGUGAAAUCCCAGAGCUUAACUCUGGAACGGCCUUUGAGACUGCAUAGCUAGAGAACGGAAGAGGUGAGUGGAAUUCCCAGUGUAGAGGUGAAAUUCGU
Molecule: ribosomal RNA, 275 nt
Filed under: uncultured bacterium
Lineage: Bacteria
Description: partial 16S ribosomal RNA
Rfam family: Bacterial small subunit ribosomal RNA
Source: RNAcentral